GUGGAAAUGUAGGGAAGAGAAGGGCUGUUGGAUUUCCUAGGCCUUUCUGGCUCAAAGUUUCUGCUUCUACUGUAUUAAUGCAGUUCAUGGAUCCCCAUCUUUUCUGGUACAUAUCCUUAAACUGCAUCUGUGGAACAAGAUGUUGAAUUUAGUUCUUUUCUUUCUCUUUCUUGUUUCUCUUUCAGGAAAUAACCACUUCAAAUUUAUCCAAUUUUACCAGGCAGAAUACUUGUUGGAAAAGAAAAGAAUACUUUUUGUCUCCUGCCAAACUAAAGUCCAUCUGAUGGAAGUGUGGGUAAGGAAUGAAUUGGAGAAGAUAAAGAUAACAGGGGAAUGGCUCUUACCAGUAUUUCUAGAAGAAACUACUGCAGUCCCUCUUCUACUGAGAUUAAGGGAUGAUAUUGCCAGGAACAAAAGAACAGGCAUGUAAUUCAAUUUGACUAAGUAAAUUGUGAGAUUUAAAGGUUUUUUUUUUUUUAGGAAGAAUUCCCAGAGAAGUGGCUAUACUACAUUUUAAGAUUGUGUAUCAGAUCCUAAACUCCCUAUCUUAUUGUUCAUUUAGGUUAAGGGAUUAGAGAGUCUAUGUCUAAAUGAUAUUUCUUUAUAAGGCAGAAAUAUUAAGCAGCAACAUAUCAUGGAUAAAAACAAUGGAUUAGGAACUGAGAAACAGACAUUAGUUCUGGCUAAAUUAUUAAGUAGCUGUGUAACCUUAAGGAAAUUAGACAAUUUCCCUGGGAAAUCAGCUUCCUCAUUUGUAAAAUAAUCUUUAAAGUAUUAUCCCUCAAAAAUCCAAGAUUCUAUGUUUAUAAUACCCUAUGGUAUUUUUUAGUCAAAAUCAUUUUUGUUCCCAAACAGAAUAAUUAGCAAUUUUUCUUCUAAGAUCAUAAGAAAACAUAGGUUAUGUUUGAUAAGUAAUUGAUAUAGUAUGGCUCUGUCUCCAUCAAAAUCUCAUCUUGAAUUGUAGCUCCCAUAAUUUCCACAUGUUAUGGGAGGGACCCAGUGGGAGGUAAUUGAAUCAUGGGGGCAGUUUCCCCUAUGCUGUUCUGGUGGUAGUAAAUAAGUCUCAUUUGAUCUGAUGGUUUUAUAAGAGUUUUCCCUUUUUGGUUGGCUGUCAUUCUCUCUUGUCUGCCACCAUGUAAUUUCACCUUCCACCAUGAUUGUGAGGCCUCCUCAGCCCUGUGGAAUUGUGAGUCCAUUAAAUGUCUUUUUCUUUAUAAAUUACCCAGUCUUGGGUGUGUCUUUAUCAGCAGUGUGAAAAAUUACUAGAUGGUAAUCAUGGAGAAUGGAUAUAUCCCAAAUUGUGGGUAGUCCUGCUAGGGAGAACAGAGCUGGGCAAGCUGCUACAUACUAGAACCUGGACACCUGGGGAUCAUGGAGAUACUAGGGAUCAAAAGGGAGUAGAUGAUUUUAGGAAAGUGAGGCCAUUGUAAAGCCACUCUGCCCCUGUUAAAAUCAUGCCUGGGGCCAUCCCUGAGUCCCUGGGAGGGAAGAGGACUUUCUGCCUGCUCUCUAUUUGUAAGCAGGGCAUAAAAUUCACUACUACAAACUAAUGACAGGAGUAUACCUGAUCUAUGCCAGUUAACUGUAAAUCAGUUUCUUUACAGAUUGAUAGGUUCUUUUUAUAAAGGACUUUUCAUGUAGAAUGUUCAUUUACUACUCCCAUCUUUCUCAUCUCUCUUUAUCCCGUCCCCUUGUAAGACUCACAUAGGAGUGAAAUAAAGUGGUCUAGACAUAUUUUGAAGAUUGGAACAUUUUUUCCAGACUGUGAUAGGACAGCUCCAAAUGUGAUGCAGCUGGAUUUUCCCUGGGUGGCCUGUGGUGCCUCAAACCCAACAAUGAUUCUCUAAGAAACCUAAAAUUCAUGCUCAGGUCUUUAA
Molecule: long non-coding RNA, 1877 nt
Organism: Macaca mulatta (Rhesus monkey)
Lineage: Eukaryota; Metazoa; Chordata; Mammalia; Primates; Cercopithecidae
Source: Ensembl